This 817-nucleotide long non-coding RNA is filed under the name Capsicum annuum. RNAcentral's name for it is "long non-coding RNA (CANN_LNC007471)". Lineage: Eukaryota; Viridiplantae; Streptophyta; Magnoliopsida; Solanales; Solanaceae. The record is from RNAcentral.
AGGCAUUUUAAUACUUACCAGUGACUAAAUCUAAUGUGACAAACACCAAGCAUAUUGAAUUACACUAAAACUACCCUAGCAUUUCAAUCCCUCAAAAUCAUCAAGCCUCAAUAACAUAUCAAAAUCCAACAACUCUAAGCAAAAUUCACAAUUAGCACCAAAAAAACUGAAACUCAACAGCUCAACAAAAACAACAAUAGUAAAAUCUGUUAGAGUACGUGUCCUACUGACUAGUGACUUUAACGUAAGAGUUGUCUAUGGAUGGAACAGGUUGUCUGACAAGUUCCAAGAAAGCGAAAGUAAAGAACACAAUAAUUUCAAAAAGGUGCAAAAAAAAUACAAUGAUUUAACCCCAACUUCACUAAAUAGCUCUGUCCUGUGAAACAAGUUCGUCAAUCUGUUCCUUUGUACUUUGUACUGACAAAACUUGAAUCUUCAAUCAAAAUUCUCUCAAUUAUGAACUUUCUUAAUUUUCUCGUUUUUAGCCUUUUCUCUCUUUGUAAGUGCGCAAGUUAUUCUAAAUAAUACAUUUCUAUUUAAGCACAGCUCUCCAAAAAAGUCAUUCUUUAUUUCAAACUCCUCCUUUAAUUAGAACUCUCAUUAAGUAGAAUUCGACUCCUUCUUCAAUUCCAACUCUUGUAUCCUUAGUGUUGUAGUCAAACUCCAACUCUUUAAAUCAACACAUGUUUAUUUCCUUGAGUUUAUCUGAAUUAGCCACCCAUCUGGUUCGUCCUUGAUUUUUGUACGCUUGUCUUUAAUCAUCGAUGAUUUUGCUACAAGUUUCAGCUACAUGAGACGGUGUGUUUAUGAACCAGCU